Molecule: long non-coding RNA, 2099 nt
Organism: Oryctolagus cuniculus (rabbit)
Lineage: Eukaryota; Metazoa; Chordata; Mammalia; Lagomorpha; Leporidae
Source: Ensembl
AUGCCUCCUGGAAAAUCAUUACAGAAACAGAGUUGGCUUCUCCAUUCCCCUUGGAAGGAGCAACCUGAACUGAGGAUGAAAGGAAAACAUCUCGCUGAAUUCUUUAUGAAGAGCCCUCUUUUGUGGCUGCAAUUGCCUUGGGCACCGGGGGCUGGCUGCCUUGGAACAGAAUCAUGGCUCCUGGGCCGUGGGAUGCAGGCAGGGCUUCAGCCACCAGGAUACAAGCCACAUGGAUUUCUCCUGGCUUCUGCUUUUCCACUGAGACACGCAGCUCCUUGUGUGGAUUAGUCCAGAGGAAAGCACCAAGCAUAGAAGAGGAGACCAAAAUAGAUUCUUAAACUCAUGGGUUGAAGAAUUAGAAGCCAGAGCCUUCAUGUUUGCACCGAAGACACUCGAACUUGGGAAUGUGCAGAGUCAAAGAAGAAGACACUCAGAACACAUUCACAGCAGUGCUCAGCCCCCGAGGGUCCAACACACACAGAAACGGUUGUUGACUCCUCACACUGUCCACAGCCCUGUGCGCGAUCCCCUAACUCCACGGAGUGUCCGGGCCUUCAUCUAGGACUUAAUUCAUCCAAGAGCAAGUUGCUCUGUAUGUCCCGGGCAGCACUGGCUUCUUUGCCUACUGUCAUGGCUGUAGCUUCACUCCGGCCUGAGCCACACCCUAGCCAUCAGCAUGUGCUUCCCUGCUCGGGGACAGCAUGGGUGCUUCCCUCAGGCCACACUCUGGAUGGUGCAGGUAAACUCUAUCCAGGUCUCCCACUUACAUGAGCCAGUAACUGCUGCCUCCCAGGCACAUCAGCAGGGAGCUGGGUCAGAAAUGGAGCAGCCAGGACUCAAAGUGGUAUUUACAUGGGAUGGCAGUCUUGCAGGAGGUGGUUUAACCUGCUGAGCUACAAUGUUGGCAAUAGAAACCAGAUUCUAAAGGAGGAGGGUAAAUGACUCUGAUGUAUUCUGGUACAGGUGACAGAAAUAAGGAAACUCAAUCAAGGCAAGAGGAGGGAGAGUAAGGGAUGGGGUGGACGCUCUCAUGGGAUCUCCCACAAAGACGUCCCUGAGAACAGAGGCACCGGGCUGGCCUUGUCAGUGGCAGGCAAAUCCUCAAAACCACUGACCUACAGAUGCACCUGUGUGGAUGCUGAAAGGACAGAAAGAAGGGUCCUUGGGGUGGUCUGCAGAGCACAGCCCAGUGGACAGCAGCAGAAGAAGCUGGGGUAAAGCGAGGGGCCAGUGCCACCAGCAUGGUUGAGACCAGGGUGAGGUGUUUGGAUUUUCGGAUUUUGGAUCUAACUGCACAGAGAAGCCAGGUGCAAGGGUGGGAGGCACCCAUCAAUAUAUGAGUUUGUGUUCCUCCAACACUGCUGGGGCUACUGGCAAGACACCAGGGGUGGGGAAGAGAGGAAGGGGAGACUGAUGAUACCACACAGGAUUCCAGAUGGGAAAAUCUUUAAAAACCCAUGGGAGAAAGAAAGAGCUCCUGUAAAACUCCAGUAAAUUGAAAGACAGCACGGAUACACCGCUAUUUGUAAUACCCCUAUCUGAUUUAGAUUAAACUGUUUAGAGCAACAAUUGCAAUGUUUUGGGCUAGUGAGGUAUUAACAUAUAAUUUACAGCAGUUACAGCAAAGCUUUUGUGUACUAUUUAAAUUAAGUCACUACUAAUUUGAACUGUGUUUUACAAAUUACGAUGUUAAUUAUAAUCCCAGGAAAAAUUACUCGAAAAAGAAAUAGAAAAAAGUGAAAUAAGUCAGGGUAGGGGCUGGCAUUGUGGUGCAAAGGGUUAAACCACAGCCUGCAAUGCCUGCAUCACGUGUAAGUGCUGGUUGAGUCCAGCUGCUCCAUGUCUGAUCCAGCUCAUGCACCUGGGAAAGCAGUGAAAAGUGUCUCAAGUGCUUGGGCCCCUGCAACCAUGUGGGAGACCCGGAUGGAGGUCCAGGUUCCUGGCUUUGGCCUGGCUCAGCCCUGGCUGUUGUGAUCUUUUGGGAUAUGAAUCAGUGGGUGGAAGAUCUCUCUCUCCUUCUCUUCUCUCACUCUUUUUCCCUCUGUAACUCUGCCUUUCAAGUAAAUAAAUAAACCUUUAAAAAAAGGAAGGGUAGAGGC